AUGUACCCUAGAACUUAAAGUAUAAUAAAAAAAUUAUAUAAAAAAAAUAAAAUAAUAAAAUAAAAUAAAAUCCUCUUAUUUAAAAAAAAAAAAAAAAAGAGAUUAUCAUGAACUGGGAGAAACUUGCCAAACUAGAAUCAAAAGUGUGCAACAGUGAAAAAAUAAUUGCUAGCAGAAAGAAAAUGGUUCAUAGAACAUCUAUAGCAAAUAAUUAAAAGUUUGGUUCUCCUUAAAGAAGUUAGAGGUCAACAAUAUUUCUGGUAUCAAAGAGGGGAAUAUGUGUACAAACCAAAGAAUGGUGAUGUACUUUAACAAUGCUCUAGGUCAGGCAUCUCUAGCAGUGAACACUACCAUUACAGGCCAUGCUGACACAAAGCAGCUGAGACAAAUGCUGCCCAGCGUCUUAAACCAGCUUGGUACAGACAAUCUGACUAGUUAAGGGAGACUGACAAGUUAUUCUGUUCAAAUAAUCUAGGGGAUGGAAAAGCAUUUGCUACUGGAGAUGAUAAUGAGGAUGAAGUCCCAGAUCUUGGGGAGGAUUUUGAUGAGGCUUCCAAGAAUAAGGCAAAAUGAGUCAACUUUUGAAAAAGAUAAAACUUGAAGAAGUUCCUGGGACCUGCUAUUUUAUAUUAUCACUGCUUUUUAAAUUUUUCACUUAUGUGUCUGAUAAAAUCUAGAUUUUUAGUAUUUUUAAGCCUAAGCCUCUUGGACACUGCAGCUCUUUCCAGGCUUUGCUUAUACAUUAUUCAUUUUUUGCAGCUAAUUAAACUGAAUAGAUGGUAACAAAAUUUGAACCAAAGGUUUAAAAAGUUUUCUGGCUGGGCACGAUGGCUCAUGCCUAUUAUCCCAGCACUUUGGAAGGCCAAGGCAGGAGGAUCACUUGAGCCGAGGAAUUCAGGACCAGCCUGGGCAACACUGCAAGACUCUGUCUCUACAAAAAAAAAAAAAAAAAAAAAAAAAGAAAAAAGAAGCAUAUCUAUGCAUAUUUUGUUGCAUUUUUAAAAACCAGGCAGGGAGGAGAUUGGGAAAAUGUUGGUCAAAACAUAGAAAUUUUCUGUUAGAUAGUAGAAAUAAGUUUAACAGACCUAUUGUACAACAUGGUGAUAUAGUUAAUAACUAUAUAUUGUAUUCUUGAAAAUUGCUAAGAGUAUAUUUAAAGUAUUCUUUACACAAAAAAGGUAGUAUGUGAGGUCAUGUAUAUGCUAAUUAGCACAAUUUAGCCAUCCCACAAUGUAUACACAUUUCAAAACAUUGUGCUAUACAUGAGAAAUACGUUAAUUUUUUGUCAAUUAAAAAGUUGAUUGUCAGGCCGGGUGCAGUGGCUCAAACCUGUAAUCCCAGCACUUUGGGAGGCUGAGACGGGCGGAUCACGAGGUCAGGAGAUCGAGACCAUCCUGGCUAACACGGUGAAACCCCAUCUCUACUAAAAAAAUACAAAAAAAAAAAAAACUAGCCAGGUGAGGUGGCGGGCGCCUAUAGUCCCAGCUACUCGGAAGGCUGAGGCAGGAGAAUGGCGUGAACCCGGGAGGUGGAGCUUGCAGUGAGCUGAGAUUCGGCCACUGCACUCCAGCCUGGGGGACAGAGCAAGACCCUGUCUUAAAAAAAAAAAAAAAAGUUGAUUGUUUAAUUUUUUAACAUAAACAAAAUGCCAGAGACAUACACAGAAAACUACUUUAAAAUGGUUGUUAUCUAAUGGAGAAGUAUGUAAACUUGAAGGAGGAGAGAUAGGAGUGGGAAUUAAUCUUUUUGUUCUAAUCCUCAACUACAUUUGAAAUAUGUGAGGGCAUUAUAUCAUCAACAUAUUAAGUAAUUUAUCAAAUGCCAGUGAGGAGAACACAUCUGGUAUCAGACAAAGCUGAUACCAAAGAUACCCAGGGAGGUAAAAGUUCUCCUGCAGCAUAACUCAUUCCUCCACGGAGGCCUUGAGAGUGAUGACCUGCAAUUAGUAAGACACCAUCACCAUGAUGACCCAUUUCCUAUGUCCAGUCCUCCUGGCAGAAGAGAGCAGAUAAUCCAGCACUGGCCAGUUCCCAUAGCCCUUUGGGUAUCUGUGUGCAGAGCCAAAGGCUUCUACUUUCCAGCAAACAUCCAUUUUACAUCAAAUCUUACCUAACACAAGGGUGACAACUUUCCUUAGUGUCAUCAUCAGCAAUUCAGGAGUUGCCUCCUUCUUCACCCUUGUAGACAUCACCAAUACCUGUCUUUCUUGCCACUCAACUUUCUCACUGUAGAGGUGUGUGUGCAUGUGUGUGUGCAUGCAUGCAUGCACG
Long non-coding RNA from Papio anubis (olive baboon), 2270 nucleotides. NCBI's taxonomy places the organism in Eukaryota, Metazoa, Chordata, Mammalia, Primates, Cercopithecidae. The record is from Ensembl.